Molecule: unclassified non-coding RNA, 525 nt
Filed under: Hevea brasiliensis (rubber tree)
Lineage: Eukaryota; Viridiplantae; Streptophyta; Magnoliopsida; Malpighiales; Euphorbiaceae
Source: RNAcentral
GUUCUUGUUGAGUCGACGGAGUAAUCCACUGAGCCUAUCGAUAAUCUUGCCAACGCAAGGGAUAUAAUCUGAAAAGAAGAAUCCAGCAAACAUGGCUUGAGUUUCGCUGACGAGCCUUGUGAGCCUAUCUUCAACAUCACAUCUCUUGCCAGUGGCAGCUCUAAUUGUUACAUUGUUUCCAAGUGCGAGCAUUGCUUCCGACAAGUUGAAAGGCUUAGAAGCAGCUGCUGAUUUGGAAAUGUUGUUCACCAAGCGAGAAACCUCAUCCUCUCUUAUGGGACGGAAGGUGGAGGAUCGAAUUGAGUUGAAGAGAUGAACCACUGUAAUUUUUCUAAUCUCCCUCCAAUAAUCAUCAUAGGGUGAAAAAACCACGUCUAAACCAUUGUAUGAGAGCUUGUGAGAGCCCACCAAGGCAGGUCUACUGCAGAAAUUAAGAUCAUAGGUUUUCAUAAUGUCUUUAGCCAAUUUUGCAGAAGUUACUACAAUGGCUGGCCUAGUUCCCAUUCUCAAGGUCAUGAUGGGGCC